UCCUGGAGUGAUUUUUAUACAUUAUUUUUAUUGUGGAAAAUUGCUCUUUCAAGUGAGAGAAAGUUCAACGUGACUCAGGCCAAAAAUAGGGGAGAAAUGGUGGAUUCCUGUAACUGCAAAGUCUAGGGUAUAGUAGCUUCAGACAAGGCUAGAUUUUGAUGUUAAAAGACGUCAUGAAGAAUCUGUUUCCAUCUUCCCACUUUGCUGUCUUCUGUGUUGGUUUCCUUCUCCGGCAGUCUCUCUGUGAUGACAAAGAGGCUAUCACCAGCUGCUGACUUACAUCCUGCUGACUUAGGGACCCCAGAGGAGUCACUCUCAUUCGCAGUUUGGGGCAUGUUUCCACUCCUGGGGUUGGAAAACAGUUUGAGGACUUGAUCCACGUGAGCCAAGAUGGGGAGAGAUGGGUGGGAUGGGGCACACCCAGUGGUGUGCAGGGUAGGGGGGAUGUUUAACAAGGAGUUCUGGGUGAGGGUCGGAGGUAGAGUCUUCAUUUGUAACGUUUGCCAAUUUCCAUGGUGUAAUAAACACUUUCACUGAAGCAAAUUUCAAGCUACUGAUGUGCACGGAAUUGGGAAGAGAGAUGAAGACACACCUGCUAUGUAAUAUUCCUACCACGCAGGUAAAACGAAUGAUGUGCCAGUCACUGGGUUGCACCUUGGACGCAGUAAGCAAAAGAACACGUGAUCUCUGCCCUCCUACAGCUUACAAAAGAGGAUGAGCUGAGUAAUCAUGAGAAAAUCUUCAGGAGCUGAGACUAGGUGAAGCGUUCUUAGACUUGACACAAAAACAUACUGCGUAAGAGGAAAUCUGAUAAAUUGGACAUCAUCAAAAUUAAAGCCUGUUGCUUUGCAAGGAGACCAGAAUUAGAGGAUGCAGACAAGAAGCCUAGACUCUAGUGCAGCAGAAAUACACACAAGAAUCUGUGUCUAUCGCAGAGGUCCAAACAAAUACUCUGAGAAUACAAAGGAAAAUGAGAUUACUUUCAGCCAAGGAAAUCUAGGAAGUCUGACAAGGCGAUAACCAAGCUAGGAAUUGAAAGACAAGUAGGAUUGCAACAGAGGGACCCAAGAGUAAGAAGAGCAUCCAAGGCAGAAUUAGCAAGAGCUAGAAGGAAGGAAAGUGCAAGAAUGUUUAUACAGUGAGUAGCCCGGUACAGAUUACGGUGUAUGGGAGGAGCAGAGUGGGAAGUGAGCCUGGAAAGGUGAUCUGGGGACAUAUUGUACAAUUAAGUGCAGUGAGGACAUGGCCCUUCUCCCAGAUAACUUACAGCUAGAAAAAUGCUAAUUCAGGUAAGAGGUGCAGAGCAAGCUGGCAGGUGUGAACUCUGGACAUCCAAGAAGAAUGGGAUUAUUUGGCCAAGGGCCAUCAUGCAAGAUGCCCAGAAGCUCCAGGUGGCAUUGCCUGAGGGGAGCAGGAGGGCGUGGCUGUGGCCUCCUAUCUUAGGCACAGGCUGGGAUACCUAAGUCUGUCUUUUUCCCACGGGAGUCUCUUCCUUGCUUCUCCCACCAUCGUUCUCAGGCUGAGGGCGGAGCCAGAAACGCUCACCUGCAGCAGCUCCAGUUGAAUACAGCCUGGUCUCUGCAAGCUCCCAGAAGCAGACUUGGAUGCUGAUGGCGUCAAUAGCAAAGUCAAAAGCCUGCCAACGGCCUUGUCACUGCUGAGAUGGAACAGUGGUUGAUGACAUUGAAGUUUCUGGGACAUUAUCAGUAACAAUAAAAUGUAACUCUCACUGUACAAAGAGAGCUUGGUUUCUGAAUGUACCCUGCCAGCAGAACUCGCCAGGAGCUCCUUAUCCAGAUUCCAAGUCUGAAUUAAAUUCACGUUUUUAAAAAAUGGUCAGGGAAAUUAUGCAAGUUCGAGAGAGGCCCCUUCACUUGCCAUUUCACAGAGAAAAAAUUAAUGGAGGGGGAAGGAAAGUAAUUUCUCUCAUAAAAUGGUAGUAUAAUAUCUUUUUUGGUUAUUAUCUGUUCAGCGAGAACUGCAGUCUGCAAUCUCCUUUAGUGUUCAAUUUUUUAAUUCCCAAUGUGAAUAUUGAGUCAAAAAGCAAAUGACCUUUCAGACCAAGAAAACCAAGUCUAAGGUCACUGGAAUUUCUUAAAUUCUCUGUCCACAUUCUCAAACUACUAUAGCUGUUCUUUAAAAUAUAGCAUAUAAACAGAUGGUGU
Non-coding RNA from Vicugna pacos (alpaca), 2165 nucleotides. Lineage: Eukaryota; Metazoa; Chordata; Mammalia; Artiodactyla; Camelidae. The record is from RefSeq and is a predicted model, not a curated record.